CUUGCUCUGCUUUUGGAUUUGUCGGAAUAUUUUGGAAUUUGCUGCUUGAGUUUUGCCCAAUUGUAUCGUUUGGUUGCCAGGUGUUUAUAGACAUCGCUUGGCUUGGGGUUGCAAGGAAGAAUAACAGUUUUCUCUUUUACCAACUGCAAUCCAUUCAUCAUAUCAUAUGGAAUAUGGAAUAUGCAGCUACUAGAGGAGGACUUUGGGAAGAAUGUGCAAAUGUUGGUAUAAUCUAUAACAAGCCGGAAGGUUGGCCACACAAGUGCACUGCAACCAAACAUCAGUGAGUCACAGGGUUGCAAGUUGGACUUCAGAGCCAUGGAAUAAGCUUUUACCAACUCCAACUCAUUUCAUUAUAGUCAUGGAAAAUGCAGCAAGCUAGAGGAGGACUGACUUUGGGAGGAGUAUGCAAUUUUGCUACACUUGCAUGGUGUGACUCUCACUCUGCACAUUUGAUGGAGCCAUUUGUUAUUACAAUAUUGAUUGUCACUAUGAUAAAUUGAUAAUUGGAAGUGACAUGCAUGGGAUGACAUUGCGUACCCGUUACAUUACGUGUAAGUACUUUCUUCACUUUUCUAUUUUGAUUUCAGCAUCUAAUUGCUGAGAUACAGUUACAUUACAUGUAAGUACUUUCUUCACUUUUCUAGUUUGAUUUCAGCAUCUACUUGCUGAGAUACGGUCGUA
Long non-coding RNA from Ziziphus jujuba (common jujube), 684 nucleotides. RefSeq lists it as uncharacterized. The transcript has 5 exons. The record is from RefSeq and is a predicted model, not a curated record. Lineage: Eukaryota; Viridiplantae; Streptophyta; Magnoliopsida; Rosales; Rhamnaceae.